This 679-nucleotide ribosomal RNA is filed under the name Lamprospora miniata var. parvispora. RNAcentral's name for it is "SSU rRNA". It matches the Rfam family "Eukaryotic small subunit ribosomal RNA", at positions 397 to 1082 of the family's 1831-position model. The record is from RNAcentral. Lineage: Eukaryota; Fungi; Ascomycota; Pezizomycetes; Pezizales; Pyronemataceae.
UGAGAAACGGCUACCACAUCCAAGGAAGGCAGCAGGCGCGCAAAUUACCCAAUCCCGACACGGGGAGGUAGUGACAAUAAAUACUGAUACAGGGCCCUUUCGGGUCUUGUAAUUGGAAUGAGUACAAUUUAAACCCUUUAACGAGGAACAAUUGGAGGGCAAGUCUGGUGCCAGCAGCCGCGGUAAUUCCAGCUCCAAUAGCGUAUAUUAAAGUUGUUGCAGUUAAAAAGCUCGUAGUUGAACUUUGGGUCUGGGUGACUGGUCUGCGUCUACCGCAUGUACUGGAAACCCGGAUCUUUCCUUCUGGAGAACCGCAUGCACUUUACUGGGUGUGCCGGGGAACCAGGACUUUUACUUUGAAAAAAUUAGAGUGUUCAAAGCAGGCAUUUGCUCGAAUACAUUAGCAUGGAAUAAUAAAAUAGGACGUGCGGUUCUAUUUUGUUGGUUUCUAGGACCGCCGUAAUGAUUAAUAGGGAUAGUCGGGGGCAUCCGUAUUCGAUUGUCAGAGGUGAAAUUCUUGGAUUUUUCGAAGACGAACUACUGCGAAAGCAUUUGCCAAGGAUGUUUUCAUUAAUCAGGAACGAAAGUUGAGGGAUCGAAGACGAUCAGAUACCGUCGUAGUCUCAACCAUAAACUAUGCCGACUAGGGAUUGGGCGACUGUGUUAUUUGAGUUGCUCA